RNAcentral lists this ribosomal RNA (428 nucleotides) under uncultured bacterium. RNAcentral's name for it is "bacterial SSU rRNA". It matches the Rfam family "Bacterial small subunit ribosomal RNA", at positions 355 to 775 of the family's 1533-position model. The record is from RNAcentral.
UGGGGAAUCUUGGGCAAUGGGGGAAACCCUGACCCAGCGACGCCGCGUGGGGGAUGAAGGCCUUCGGGUUGUAAACCCCUGUUAGGUGGGACGAACACCUCCUGGCGAAUAGCCAGGGGGUCUGACGGUACCACCAGAGAAAGCCCCGGCUAACUCCGUGCCAGCAGCCGCGGUAAUACGGAGGGGGCUAGUGUUGUUCGGAAUUACUGGGCGUAAAGGGCGCGCAGGCGGCUUGGCAAGUCGAGUGUGAAAUCCCUUGGCUUAACUAAGGAAUGGCGCUCGAAACUACCUCGCUAGAGGACGGGAGAGGGAAGUGGAACUCUCGGUGUAGGGGUGAAAUCUGUAGAUAUCGAGAGGAACACCGGUGGCGAAGGCGGCUUCCUGGCCCGUAACUGACGCUGAGGCGCGAAAGCGUGGGGAGCAAACAG